RNAcentral lists this ribosomal RNA (465 nucleotides) under uncultured bacterium. Its description in RNAcentral is "partial 16S ribosomal RNA". It matches the Rfam family "Bacterial small subunit ribosomal RNA", at positions 28 to 507 of the family's 1533-position model. The record is from RNAcentral.
GACGAACGCUGGCGGCGUGCUUAACACAUGCAAGUCGAACGGAAAGGCCCUGCUUGCAGGGUACUCGAGUGGCGAACGGGUGAGUAACACGUGGGUGAUCUGCCCUGCACUUCGGGAUAAGCCUGGGAAACUGGGUCUAAUACCGGAUAGGAGCCAUUUUUAGUGUGAUGGUUGGAAAGUUUUUUCGGUGUAGGAUGAGCUCGCGGCCUAUCAGCUUGUAGGUGGGGUAAUGGCCUACCAAGGCGGCGACGGGUAGCCGGCCUGAGAGGGUGGACGGCCACAUUGGGACUGAGAUACGGCCCAGACUCCUACGGGAGGCAGCAGUGGGGAAUAUUGCACAAUGGGCGCAAGCCUGAUGCAGCGACGCCGCGUGGGGGAUGACGGCCUUCGGGUUGUAAACUCCUUUCGCUAGGGACGAAGCUUUUUGUGACGGUACCUAGAUAAGAAGCACCGGCUAACUACGUG